Molecule: long non-coding RNA, 1198 nt
Filed under: Sus scrofa (pig)
Lineage: Eukaryota; Metazoa; Chordata; Mammalia; Artiodactyla; Suidae
Description: lncRNA (ENSSSCG00025071957.1)
Source: RNAcentral
UUAGAACAUUCUGAGUCAUUUCCUGUUUGUUUAUUGUCAGGAGAGCAGAGAUCUUGUCUGUCUUAUUCACUGAUAGACCUACUAAAGAUUCAUCAACCAUUACAUGAAUUAAUGAAUCAGUAAUAUUUUUCAGGACCUCCGAUGUGCAAAGCCUUAGGCCACAACACACGACACUUCUCUCAUGAGAAGCUCAUCCAAAACCAAACCGAUGGAUCUUGUCCGCAUUGUGGUACAUAUUCUAUUUACUUGAUCUUGGACUUCGUCAUAGCUAAUCCCCACAAUUCUCCGGUGAGGUAAAGAUCACACGUCCCAUUUCUUAGAUGAUCAGAGGACCUGCCCAAAGCCCAAGGUCACCCAGUACUGGUUCCAAGGUAAGUUAUCCAUCUACGGAGCCUGGGAAUUUUUAACAAGUCACUACCUGAUCGAAAUAGACCAGUUGACGUCAUAACACUGCAUUCUAAUAUUUUGGCUAAGGCAACAAUUUUAAUACUAAUCUCCAUUAGAUUUUAUUUAUGAGUGAAUAGUACAAGUAUCCCAGAAAUUAAAGCCAGGGAUUCGUAUUGAGAAUUGAGUAUUUCUCCAUAAACCAAAUGGCUUCAGAACCACCCGACUGGUUUCCCAACUGACAAAACUCUACUCCAGCUUGUGAUUUUUUAUCCCCGCUGCUACGUGGUUGGAAGGACCCUCACUUGAAGUCCAUGGUCACAUUCCGAGGAUCAUUUCCUCUUAGAAGUUUUGACUUGCAUCUGGUACAGCCCAUCAGAGUAAGGACUAGAUAGAUUGUGAAGGGCCCACGUGAGUUGCCAAGCCCAAGUGAAGGACUUAAUUUCCUUUCCGUUGACCUGUGUUGGAUUUCUCUUGUUCUACCCUUGCACCUCCCAGAGGCCACUGUGGACAGAACUCAGAUAGAGGAUCUGAAAGUAACCUGGCCACAAAAAAAAAAUACCAAUCCCUGCCACCCCUUCGCAGACUCACUUUAUAUCUGAGGAAAAGAAUGCCGAUGCUGAAAUACUUCCAAAGUUCAACAGAUUGGGAAAUUCAAAGGCAGGGGGUGGGGUGGGGAGUAGCCCUGAUUUCCAAAGAUAUGAAGAGAGGACUCUGCUCUCUGAGGAUGAGAGGAAGUAAGACGACCCUAUUCAUGGCUGCAGGAGAGGAAAAGAAAAGAGUCCCACAAGGAAACUACCAACAGAUGGGUUGA